This is a long non-coding RNA of Esox lucius (northern pike), 905 nucleotides long. NCBI's taxonomy places the organism in Eukaryota, Metazoa, Chordata, Actinopteri, Esociformes, Esocidae. The record is from Ensembl.
GGUUGAGUGGGAAAACUGUUAACUUCUCUGUUCUAAAGUUUGUUUUAGCUGAGGAAACACACAUAAUCACAAUGGUAAAAAUACAUAUAAUAAAGGAUCUAAAUAGUAAUUGCUUUGAAGGGGCUCUCAGGGUUUGUCACAUUGUGGUCACUCUGUCCACCGUUCUGGGGUCCACAGCCUGAUUGGCUGAUUGGCAGGGGGCAGGGUCAUAAGCAACGGUUUCUAGAUGUGUUGCAUUCUGGGUAGAGGUUAUAUUUUCCUCAUCCCUAACAUCAUCAUCAACCUGUGAGGAAGAGAGGACUCCUUAGGUACAGAGACACACACAUGUACAGAUGUUAUUCCCAUUCAAAAUCAAAUUUUUCCUGGCACUUGCAUGUAACCCAUCCCAAAAAAACAUAUCUGUUACCCUAAACAUAAUGUCUAAUGGAGAAUGAGCCUUUUUAGCCGUGGGCACUGAAUGUCCAGGAUAGGGUCUAACACAUGGAGGCGGAGCUACAGGUCAGCUUCUAACACAUGGAGGCGGAGCUACAGGUCAGAUUCUCACACAUGGAGGCGGAGCUACAGGUCAGAUUCUAACACAUGGAGGCGGAUUUACAGGUCAAGUUCUAACACACGGAGGCAAAGCUACAUGUCAGGGUCUAACACCACUAAUACAGAGACAGGUCAAGGCUAGAUGUCUCAUAUCAACAUAGAUCUGUUAUGUUGUGGAUGAGGGUUUUGGUGGGGGGGUCUUAAGGUGUUGUGUUGAGGGUUUGGUAGGUGGAGUUUUGGGAUGAUGAAAAUGCAUGGACGACUGGCCCAGUAGAUAACAUUGAGAUCUCCUCCAUUUAUAGAUCAGCAACAGGAGGAGUCCCAACACCAACACAGCCAGACUUACACACACCAUGAUGACCAAUGGAAUUCCU